GUGGGGAAUUUUGGACAAUGGGCGCAAGCCUGAUCCAGCAAUGCCGCGUGUGUGAAGAAGGCCUUCGGGUUGUAAAGCACUUUUGUCCGGAAAGAAAUCUCCUGGGUUAAUACCUCGGGGGGAUGACGGUACCGGAAGAAUAAGCACCGGCUAACUACGUGCCAGCAGCCGCGGUAAUACGUAGGGUGCGAGCGUUAAUCGGAAUUACUGGGCGUAAAGCGUGCGCAGGCGGCUAUGCAAGACAGAUGUGAAAUCCCCGGGCUCAACCUGGGAACUGCAUUUGUGACUGGAUGGCUAGAGUGCGUCAGAGGGAGGUGGAAUUCCGCGUGUAGCAGUGAAAGGCGUAGAGAUGCGGAGGAACACCGAUGGCGAAGGCAGCCUCCUGGGAUGACACUGACGCUCAUGCACGAAAGCGUGGGGAGCAAACAGGAUUAGAUACCCGGGUAGUCC
Molecule: ribosomal RNA, 450 nt
Filed under: uncultured bacterium
Lineage: Bacteria
Description: partial 16S ribosomal RNA
Rfam family: Bacterial small subunit ribosomal RNA
Source: RNAcentral